ACCACUAAAAUAUUUUAAUAUUUAAUUGUUCAAAAAUAUAUAUAUUUAUAUAUUCGAGAGUAGACAAUGCAUAGAUGAUACUAAAUUGAUCGCAAGAAUUCUUUUUGGAAAACACAAUAUAACUAGUCUUAUCUAUAUAUAUAUAAAAAUGUUUGCCUCUCUCCUGUGCUGCCACGUCACUAAGUCAUGCAUUCUGGAAGCGACACCUGUCCACUUUAACAAAACUCACCGUUUCAUUUAUUUAGCUUUAUAAUCUGUUCGGACUUUUUGUUUUAUAAAGCCCAUUCGUCGUUUCUAGCACAAAGGACAAAACUUUCAACUACCAAUACGCAAAGUAUUAAUCUUUUCAGGACCAACAGCAUCGAAAACGUAAACCUGACCACAGAACGAGAUCGUUAGCUCAUUAGCUCCUUCCAUCGGCCGGGAACCUAGCAAUUCAGAGCCCUCGAAUCGGUGAGGAACCAAGUGAGAGCCAUCGGGGAUCAAAUCGAAGGCGGCGUAGAUGGAAUCGGGAUGAGGGAUAUCGUCCAUAUCGUCGUAAGGAAUGUGACCGGCGGAGGUUGCGGAGGUAGAGACAUGGUCUUCGUCAACGGUGGCGGAGCUGCUACCGAUCUGAUUAGGGUUAAUCUCGGGUUGGGUAUGGUGACCAAACAUCGCGAGCUGCCUAAAAGAGAAGAGCUUUUCACAUUGAUUGGAAGCGAGAGAUGAAAGUGGAGAAUCAAACCAUAACCCUAAUUGCAAAAGAGAGAGAGAGAGAGAGAGAGAGAGAAAAUUGGAGAAAAGAGUAGUACAAAGAGAGAUGGUGAUCGGCGCGUGUGGAGGAGAGGGAUUGGCCGUCGUGGAUCGGUGACUUUAGAGGUAAAUAAAUCGCAGCAACUUCUGAGAUCACCCUACGACUUCACUCCACUGGACUUUUCAUAUGUUGGCUAUUGGGCCGUUCAAUUAUGUUUCCAAAGCCCCCAUCAAAGUUCACUUUUUUUUUGUUAUAGUUUUAAUAUGUUUUACAUUUAUAUUUGCAUUAUUAAGUUUUAAAUAUUUUAACAGAUUAUUGUUUUAAUAGAUAAGAUAAUGUUAUUUAUUUUAAAAUAAAGAUAUAACUCCAGAUUUAGAAAUAUGAAUGGUUAAACAUUUAUUUGAAAAACAAAAACAAAGCAAAAAUAUUUAUGGUUUGUGUGAAAAAAAAACUCAAAAUGUGGCAACUUGCUGGAUUGUUUUUUGCAUUACUUUUUUCAAUUAUGUUUAUUAAACAAUUAAAAUACUCUUAUAGUAUGGAACUAAAGUACAUUUGCCCUACUAAUAAUCAUCACGUUUGAAGAAAAAAUUGUAUGUGAUAAUCAACUUCUUAUGGUGUUGUAUAAGAAAUUUAAAAGUCUCUUGCAUUAAAAAGAAACAUUGAUCUUUUCUCAAAUCUUGCGAUUAAAAAAUGCAGAACCGUUCAAAACUUUUGUAAGUUUUUUGUCAUAAAAUGAAUCUUUGGAGAGAUUAUAUUCUCAUUUAUUUGGUCGUAAAUAUUUUUCUAACCCAUAUAAAUAAUUUUUUUAAAAAAACUCAAAUGAUUAAAAAUGAAAAAUUCUUUACAGUAGCCUUUGACUAAUAAAAAAAUAUACAUAAAUGUGCAUAUUAAAUAUAUAGUUUACGCUAUAAAUUAGGAUUAAAAGUCCUGUAAACAAUGUAAAAGUUUUAAGUAAUGAAAAUCCGAAUAAUGUAUCUUAGUUCAAAUGAAAUUACAUGUCUCUUUAAAAAAUCAAUUUAAUGAUAAUGGGUCUUCCAAAUCUUGACAACAAAAAUAUCUUGGUAACUGAUCUUUUCUGCAACCAAAUAGGUGAAUAAAAAAGAAAUACCAUUACGAAUCACUUAUUCCGAAAUCUGAAAUUCCAUGUUUAAAAGUUAAGGCCAAGCAGAAAAUAGUUUAGAUAUCAUCAUAUUUGUCCGUGACAAAUAAUAGAGUUUACUCUACCAAAACAGAGUAUCACCUGACUAUAAACUUAAGAAAUGGAAGCGUUGAGCACCAAUAACUGGAUGUCUGAUGUUUGAACUGUCAAUCUCUCAUCAAAGCUGACAAUUUCUUAUUGAGAAUUAUGCAAAUAUUAGAGCCGGUGAAAACCUCAAAAAGCAUACAACUUAUUCAUGAUUAUGUCGUAUAGCAAAAAAAACAAAAUAAAAUAAAAUUACUUACAAAUAAAUUAACUGUACUUAAAUUAAUAAAAUAGCACAUCUUAAUAUAAGGGCGACACGUGUCUCUUCGCUAAAAUAUUGUGUUUCAUAGUUCGACUUUAGUCUUUGAUGAAUUUCUUUCUUGGGCUUCAUUUUCCUUCACAGCCCAACAUAGCCAUCUCUACUUUAAAGACUUCAUCUUCUCCGCUACCUCGACUCCUUGCCAUGGCAUUCCGCGACUCCUCCUGUCAUCUCUGUCGCGGCUCCGGUUGAUCUCCGGUGGUCCAACCGCGAUUGACUCCCUCCAUUGUCGUGAUCAAGCAUCCUUUGCGGCGUGAGCCCACGUUCAUCGUAUCACCACCGUGACCUCCUAAGCUUGCAACCAAAAGCUACGGUAUCUCCUAGCUCCCAAAGUCGUCGAUCUCACCUCCAAUCAUUUAAGCCUUACACAAUCAGACUUUUGUCGUACUUAAGAUAUCACAGAGGAGGCAAAGUCUAAUCUGUUCUUCCGCCGUUUCUCGGAUUUUGGGAACGUCAAUGUUAUCUAUGCUUUGGAUGUUUCCAGAAACCACCUAUUUUCUUAGACCUAAGAUGUAACCUAUCCCCCACUUUCCUGCAAUUAGGUAACUGUUAUUAAUGUAUCAUUCAAUCAAACCAGUCCAGUACUCUCAACGAUCCGUCUUCCCUGCAUUCGUCACCCAUUUCAUUCAGUAUAUAUAUGAACCUGAACCGAGACCUCCUCAUAACUCAGUGUUUAUUUAUGUGAGAUGAUUUAGAUUUCGAUUUUGUUUCAGUUUGUUCUUUUAUUGAUUAUCAAGAUUUUAAUUUGAAAACUUUUUUUUGUGGGAGAUAGAUUCUGAUUUUGUUUGUUGAUUUUAUUUCAGUUUAUUCAUGUAUUGAUCAUCAACAACAAAGAGCUUUCUCCUGCUGCUUGGAUAAGAACAUGGUUUUAAACAGUAUACAAAGCUCUAAUGUAGGCGAGUCCCAGGGAAUACUAUCAGGAAGUGAUCCAAAACUUUCACAAACAAGAAGAGAAGGCUUGCCAUUUGCACCUGAAGCACAAGAGCUUGCGGAUACUGGGUCAUGCCCUGGGAUAUUACUAUUACAUGAAAACACAGUAGCGGAGCUCUUGCAGCAGAGGAUAUCAUCUUCAGAGGAGACUGAUGGUAGCUUUUCAUGUCAUUUAGACUUUACUUUGUCUUCUGCUCCAUUACCAGACAAGCCAGCUUCGCAGAUGGCUAAGACAAUAGUACAAUGUCAAUAGAGCAAGGUGGAGAGUGACACUGGGUCAGCGGUGGAUAGUAACAGAGCAAUCGUCAUUGAGCUGAUGGAGCAAGUGACGGAGAGAGUGAUCUGGACAGCCAUGGAACAAGCGUACGGAGAGUGUGACGAGAGAUAGCAAAGGCAAUUGCUGAAGUUCAAGCUGUCACAGGGGAAGUCAAUAACAAUGACAGGAGGGUUCAUGCUUACAAAGUUUCUGUCAAUGGAGGAAUGAAAGCUGCGGUGGAGGAGGCUGACAUGACUGCAUAGCUUUUCAUGAGGCUGUUGCUCAGUUUUGACUGCAUAGCUUUUCAUGAGGCUCUUGCUCAGUCACAUGCAGAUCUUUCUUUUGGUUAAUUUAUACGAAUCUGCAAUUUUCUUAUAAGAUGAUUUUGUUUUGUAUAAGGAGCUGUUGGUUUAAAACCCCACCACAAAAAGCAGAAGAAAAUUUUUGGUUGAAGAAUGGCAAAUUAUGUUUGUUUGUAAUUAUUUUCUUUUGAAUUCAUUUUUCUUCUUUUUCAUGUUUUAACAUUUUAAUUGUACCAUCGAUGGAAAGAAGUAUAAAAAUACAUUAACAAAAUAUUUUAGUUUAUUUUUUUACAGAGAUAAAUUUAAUAUUAAUUAUCUAUAAACAGUAAUAUUAAUUUAAAUUGAUAAUAUAAAUGAAACAAUUAUUAGGCUCGCUUUUAAAAUUAAUUUAUCUAAAUUUAAUUUAAUUUAUUAUAAAUGAUAUAUAUAUCUAAAACACAUUGUUUUAACUGAUUAUAAUAAUAACAUCAUUUUUAAAAAUAUAUAUAAAUAGUAACAUCAAUUAAUGAAGAAAGAAUAAAAAGACUCAAUGAAUAACAAGGACAAUUCUCUAAAAUAGAUUCAUUUUAAGUUUGUUGUCACAAAAGAGUUCCAAAAAAAGAAAAUAACCAAAUUAAAUUUUAUCAAAUAACAAAAAAAAUUAUACUAUAAAUAUAUAAAUACAAAUAAAUAAAUAAAAAGAUAUAAAAUAAAAUAAAAUUUAUAGUUUCGAAUUAUAUGUUUCAAUUUUGAACUUUUUAUUAAAAAAAUUCCAAAUAUUAUUUUAUAUU
Brassica rapa (field mustard) is the source of this 4493-nucleotide long non-coding RNA. RefSeq lists it as uncharacterized. The record is from RefSeq and is a predicted model, not a curated record. NCBI's taxonomy places the organism in Eukaryota, Viridiplantae, Streptophyta, Magnoliopsida, Brassicales, Brassicaceae.